GACGAACGCUGGCGGCGUGCCUAAUACAUGCAAGUCGAGCGGACGAUUCGAAAGCUUGCUUUUGAAUCGUUAGCGGCGGACGGGUGAGUAACACGUGGGCAACCUGCCCUGUAGACGGGGAUAACACCGAGAAAUCGGUGCUAAUACCGGAUAACACGAAAUGUCGCAUGACGUUUCGUUGAAAGGCGGCGCAAGCUGCCGCUACAGGAUGGGCCCGCGGCGCAUUAGCUAGUUGGUGAGGUAACGGCUCACCAAGGCGACGAUGCGUAGCCGACCUGAGAGGGUGAACGGCCACACUGGGACUGAGACACGGCCCAGACUCCUACGGGAGGCAGCAGUAGGGAAUCUUCCGCAAUGGACGAAAGUCUGACGGAGCAACGCCGCGUGAGCGAAGAAGGCCUUCGGGUCGUAAAGCUCUGUUGUUAGGGAAGAACAAGUAACGUAGUAACUGACGUUACUAUGACGGUACCUAACGAGAAAGCCACGGCUAACUACGUG
This 498-nucleotide ribosomal RNA is filed under the name uncultured bacterium. RNAcentral describes it as "partial 16S ribosomal RNA". It matches the Rfam family "Bacterial small subunit ribosomal RNA", at positions 28 to 507 of the family's 1533-position model. The record is from RNAcentral.